RNAcentral lists this unclassified non-coding RNA (219 nucleotides) under Hevea brasiliensis (rubber tree). Lineage: Eukaryota; Viridiplantae; Streptophyta; Magnoliopsida; Malpighiales; Euphorbiaceae. The record is from RNAcentral.
ACCAAUUAAAAAUUGCUCAAAAAAAUUAAUGGAAAAGAAUACUGCAAACAAGUAGAAAAUCAGAAGUUUAAUAACAAAAGAAUAGAUCACGAAAUAAUGUUUCGAUUGAACAUGAAUAUAAAGCAUGCAUCUAAAGAAGAAGCAUGAGACUUAAAAAUCCAUUGGUAAUGAAUCAAAGAUCUUACAGCAUAACCAAAUGAAGUGAAAGGCCAACCUGAA